CAACCUGCCUUUCAGAGGGGGAUAACAGUUGGAAACGACUGCUAAUACCGCAUAACGCUGCGAUGGGGCAUCCCGAUGCAGCCAAAGGAGCAAUCCGCUGGAAGAUGGGCUCGCGGCCGAUUAGCUAGUUGGUGGGGCAACGGCCCACCAAGGCGACGAUCGGUAGCCGGACUGAGAGGUUGAUCGGCCACAUUGGGACUGAGACACGGCCCAGACUCCUACGGGAGGCAGCAG
This 234-nucleotide ribosomal RNA is filed under the name uncultured bacterium. RNAcentral describes it as "partial 16S ribosomal RNA". It matches the Rfam family "Bacterial small subunit ribosomal RNA", at positions 122 to 354 of the family's 1533-position model. The record is from RNAcentral.